This 434-nucleotide unclassified non-coding RNA is filed under the name soil metagenome. Its description in RNAcentral is "partial contains 5.8S ribosomal RNA, internal transcribed spacer 2, and large subunit ribosomal RNA". The stretch from base 1 to 120 matches the Rfam family "5.8S ribosomal RNA", at positions 35 to 154 of the family's 154-position model. The record is from RNAcentral.
GAUGAAGAACGUAGCGAAAUGCGAUACGUAAUGUGAAUUGCAGAAUUCAGUGAAUCAUCGAAUCUUUGAACGCAUAUUGCGCUCUUUGGUAUUCCGAAGAGCAUGCUUGUUUGAGUAUCAGUAAACACCUCAAAGCUUUUGGAUUUUUUAAUCGAAAAGCUUUGGACUUGAGCAAUCCCAACACCAAUCUUUUUGAGAUCGGUGGCGGGUUGCUUGACAUGCAGAUGUAGCUGGACAUUCUCCUGAGCUAAAAGCAUAUUCAUUUAGUCCCGUCAAACGGAUUAUUACUUUUGCUGCAGCUAACAUAAAGGGAGUUUGACCGUAUUGGCUGACUGAUGCAGGAUUUCACAAGGGUCGGCAACGAUUCUUGUUAAACUCGAUCUCAAAUCAAGUAAGACUACCCGCUGAACUUAAGCAUAUCAAUAAGCGGAGGA